RNAcentral lists this ribosomal RNA (511 nucleotides) under uncultured bacterium. Its description in RNAcentral is "bacterial SSU rRNA". It matches the Rfam family "Bacterial small subunit ribosomal RNA", at positions 8 to 518 of the family's 1533-position model. The record is from RNAcentral.
AGAAUUUGAUCUUGGUUCAGGAUGAACGCUGGCAGCGUGCCUAACACAUGCAAGUCGAACGGAGUUAUAUAACGGAAGUUUUCGGAUGGAAGAUAUGUAACUUAGUGGCGGACGGGUGAGUAACGCGUGGGCAACCUGCCCUGUACCGGGGGGAUAACACUUAGAAAUAGGUGCUAAUACCGCAUAAGCGCACAGCUUCGCAUGAAGCAGUGUGAAAAACUCCGGUGGUACAGGAUGGACCCGCGUCUGAUUAGCUAGUUGGUGGGGUAGAGGCCCACCAAGGCGACGAUCAGUAGCCGGCCUGAGAGGGUGACCGGCCACAUUGGGACUGAGACACGGCCCAAACUCCUACGGGAGGCAGCAGUGGGGAAUAUUGCACAAUGGGGGAAACCCUGAUGCCAGCGACGCCGCGUGAGUGAAGAAGUAUUUCGGUACGUAAAGCUCUAUCAGCAGGGAAGAAAAUGACGGUACCUGACUAAGAAGCCCCGGCUAACUACGUGCCAGCCGCAGC